This 483-nucleotide ribosomal RNA is filed under the name uncultured bacterium. RNAcentral describes it as "SSU rRNA". It matches the Rfam family "Bacterial small subunit ribosomal RNA", at positions 26 to 521 of the family's 1533-position model. The record is from RNAcentral.
AGGAUAAACGCUGGCGGCGUGCCUAACACAUGCAAGUCGAACGCGCUUGCUAUCCGCGAGGACGGUGAGCGAGUGGCGGACGGGUGAGGAACACGUGGGUGACCUACCUUUCAGUGAGGGAUACCGGCGAGAAAUUGCCGACAAGACCGCAUACGCUUCUCUUUUCAAGGGGAGAAGGAAAGCUUUUCGCAAGAGAGGCGCUGGGAGAUGGGCCUGCGGCCGAUUAGCUAGCUGGUGGGGUAAUGGCCUACCAGGGCGACGAUCGGUAGCUGGUCUGAGAGGACGAUCAGCCACACUGGGAUUGAGAACGGCCCAGACUCCUACGGGGGGCAGCAGUGAGGAAUUUUCGGCAAUGGGGGCAACCCUGACCGAGCAACGCCGCGUGCAGGACGACGGCCUCGGGUUGUAAACUGCUUUUCUCUGGGACGAGCAAGGACGGUACAGAGGAAGAAGCCCGGCUAACUACGCGCCAGCAGCCGCGGU